AUAGCGUAUAUUAAAGUUGUUGCCGUUAAAAAGCUCGUAGUUGAACCUUGGACCUGGCUGAUCUGUCCUCCUAAUCGAGCGUACGGAUUCGGUCGGGUCUUUCCUUCUGGGGAGCCCUAUGCCCUUCACUGGGUGUAGCGGGGAACCAGGACUUUUACCUUGAAAAAAUUAGAGUGUUCAAAGCAGGCCUUUGCUCGAAUACAUUAGCAUGGAAUAAUAGAAUAGGACAUCGGUUCUAUUUUGUUGGUUUCUAGGACCGCUGUAAUGAUUAAUAGGGAUAGUCGGGGGCGUCCGUAUUCAAUUGUCAGAGGUGAAAUUCUUGGAUUUAUGGAAGACGAACUACUG
This 345-nucleotide ribosomal RNA is filed under the name uncultured eukaryote. RNAcentral describes it as "SSU rRNA". It matches the Rfam family "Eukaryotic small subunit ribosomal RNA", at positions 594 to 945 of the family's 1831-position model. The record is from RNAcentral.